AGAGUUUGAUCCUGGCUCAGGACGAACGCUGGCGGCGUGCCUAACACAUGCAAGUCGAGCGGAGAUUAUAGCAAUGUAAUCUUAGCGGCGGACGGGUGAGUAACGCGUGGGUAACCUGCCUUAUACAGGGGGAUAACACUGGGAAACUAGUGCUAAUACCGCAUAACAUAUAGAUAUGGCAUCAUAUUUAUAUCAAAGGA
RNAcentral lists this ribosomal RNA (200 nucleotides) under uncultured bacterium. Its description in RNAcentral is "partial 16S ribosomal RNA". It matches the Rfam family "Bacterial small subunit ribosomal RNA", at positions 8 to 208 of the family's 1533-position model. The record is from RNAcentral.